AGUGAACGCUGGCGGUAGGCCUAACACAUGCAAGUCGAACGGCAGCACAGUAAGAGCUUGCUCUUACGGGUGGCGAGUGGCGGACGGGUGAGGAAUACAUCGGAAUCUACUUUUUCGUGGGGGAUAACGUAGGGAAACUUACGCUAAUACCGCAUACGACCUACGGGUGAAAGCAGGGGAUCUUCGGACCUUGCGCGAUUGAAUGAGCCGAUGUCGGAUUAGCUAGUUGGCGGGGUAAAGGCCCACCAAGGCGACGAUCCGUAGCUGGUCUGAGAGGAUGAUCAGCCACACGGGAACUGAGACACGGUCCAGACUCCUACGGGAGGCAGCAGUGGGGAAUAUUGGACAAUGGGCGCAAGCCUGAUCCAGCCAUACCGCGUGGGUGAAGAAGGCCUUCGGGUUGUAAAGCCCUUUUGUUGGGAAAGAAAAGCAGCAGGUUAAUACCCCGCUGUUCUGACGGUACCCAAAGAAUAAGCACCGGCUAACUUC
Molecule: ribosomal RNA, 489 nt
Filed under: uncultured bacterium
Lineage: Bacteria
Description: partial 16S ribosomal RNA
Rfam family: Bacterial small subunit ribosomal RNA
Source: RNAcentral